This 86-nucleotide transfer RNA is filed under the name Calditrichota bacterium. RNAcentral describes it as "Calditrichaeota bacterium (activated sludge metagenome) tRNA-Leu". It matches the Rfam family "tRNA". Rfam says of the family: Transfer RNA (tRNA) molecules are approximately 80 nucleotides in length. Their secondary structure includes four short double-helical elements and three loops (D, anti-codon, and T loops). Further hydrogen bonds mediate the characteristic L-shaped molecular structure. tRNAs have two regions of fundamental functional importance: the anti-codon, which is responsible for specific mRNA codon recognition, and the 3' end, to which the tRNAs corresponding amino acid is attached (by aminoacyl-tRNA synthetases). tRNAs cope with the degeneracy of the genetic code in two manners: having more than one tRNA (with a specific anti-codon) for a particular amino acid; and 'wobble' base-pairing, i.e. permitting non-standard base-pairing at the 3rd anti-codon position. The record is from RNAcentral. Lineage: Bacteria; Pseudomonadati; Calditrichota.
GCCCAGGUGGCGAAAUUGGUAGACGCACAGGACUUAAAAUCCUGCGGACGCUUUAGUCCAUGCCGGUUCAAGUCCGGCCCUGGGUA